RNAcentral lists this ribosomal RNA (429 nucleotides) under Actinomycetes bacterium. RNAcentral's name for it is "Actinobacteria bacterium partial 16S ribosomal RNA". It matches the Rfam family "Bacterial small subunit ribosomal RNA", at positions 355 to 776 of the family's 1533-position model. Lineage: Bacteria; Bacillati; Actinomycetota; Actinomycetes. The record is from RNAcentral.
UAGGGAAUCUUCCGCAAUGGGCGAAAGCCUGACGGAGCAACGCCGCGUGAGUGAUGAAGGUCUUCGGAUCGUAAAACUCUGUUAUUAGGGAAGAACAAAUGUGUAAGUAACUAUGCACGUCUUGACGGUACCUAAUCAGAAAGCCACGGCUAACUACGUGCCAGCAGCCGCGGUAAUACGUAGGUGGCAAGCGUUAUCCGGAAUUAUUGGGCGUAAAGCGCGCGUAGGCGGUUUUUUAAGUCUGAUGUGAAAGCCCACGGCUCAACCGUGGAGGGUCAUUGGAAACUGGAAAACUUGAGUGCAGAAGAGGAAAGUGGAAUUCCAUGUGUAGCGGUGAAAUGCGCAGAGAUAUGGGGGGACACCAGUGGCGAAGGCGACUUUCUGGUCUGUAACUGACGCUGAUGUGCGAAAGCGUGGGGAUCAAACAGG